Molecule: ribosomal RNA, 118 nt
Filed under: Anolis carolinensis (green anole)
Lineage: Eukaryota; Metazoa; Chordata; Lepidosauria; Squamata; Anolidae
Source: RNAcentral
AUGAAGAGCUUAAACAUCCUAAAGACACCAGAUCCUGUCUGAUCUUGGAAGUUAAGCAGAUCAGUCCCAGUCAGUAUUGGCAUGGGAGGCCACCAACAAAAACCAGGUGCUGUAGACU